This 1328-nucleotide long non-coding RNA is filed under the name Cricetulus griseus (Chinese hamster). RNAcentral's name for it is "lncRNA (ENSCGRG00015043389.1)". The record is from RNAcentral. Lineage: Eukaryota; Metazoa; Chordata; Mammalia; Rodentia; Cricetidae.
GGAUAUGUGGCAUGUAGCAGGGCUCACUAUCAGAUGAGCGCUUGCAGAGCGUAGAUCUGGAUUCCAGCCUCCUGGGAUUCUACUCGCCCCCUUCCGUACAACUCUGAGAGCUCAUUUCCGAGAGCUCAAGACAGUCAACAGAAUCAAAGCACAGAGAUGUCACUGAAGCGUUGCAAGGCACCGUACCUGGAGUUCAUCCUGAGUUCUCAGGCGUUAAUAUCAGCACUGAGCUUGUCAGAAUUCAGGUCUUCAUAGAUGUUGACGAGGUGGUGGGCUGGUGAGUAGAAGAAUUCUUAAGCAGCUUCUAGGAGUGUUGUUCUAGGCCAUCUCCUGGGCAGGAUGGGGAGAGCAAUCCGUCUUUGGUGGUGGAGUGCCAUGGAGUCAGCUUGCUUCUGAGAUGCUCACAGGGAAUCCAGCAGGUGGCUGUAGAGCCAAGUCAGAUGGAGCCUCCUGUUACUAGGAAGCCACGAUGUCCUAGUUGAGUCCUGGGUCCUGUUGGCUGCUUGUUGAUUCAUCCAGUCGCAGGCACCACUUUGUGAGCACUGUUGGGGUCCCAGUGCUACAGCAGCAAACGGGUGCCCCUGUCGUUCAAAGCAUGGGUCCAUGGCCAAGGGAGACGACAGCCAUGGACCCUGAGAGCUGGAGACAGAGAUAGUAAUUGUAAGGAUGACCUGGAGAAAAACGUGAGAGGACCAGGCCAAAAGGGGGGAAGCCGUGUAUUCUUAAAGGAAAGACAGCCCUGUCAGGAAAAUAAAGCCAGAUCAAAGCCCCAAGGCAUGCUUGGUGUGUUAGAGAAACUGGACAGGAGUGAUGGGGACAAGGGCAGGGGUCCACAAGCAGCUGUGAUGAGGACUUGACUUGGGUGCCAAGUAGCGUGGAAAGCAUCAGUCCCUUUGAGCUAGUGUGGUGAGCAAUAACGAGCUCAAGGGCCUCCUCUGACAGCCACGUGGCCGGAGGCAUGGAGCAUGCCAGGGGGACAUUGCAGCUGGCUUUGAUGUCUGUGACUUGGCCCUAGAGGUAGCAGGACAAGUGGUCCAGUGUGGGUCACAAGGUGAGAAGUCCAAGGCAGCCUGAGAGGAGGGAGAGAGAAGCGUGCUGGCCGCUGGCCGUGAAGAAGAGGCGGGGGAGGCACAUUUGAGAAUGGUCACCGUAUUGCUAACGUGAGAGCCCCGAGAGAUGACAGAGUGGAGCAGAUUGAAGUGGGCAUAAGAAUAGGAGCGGGGAGCCCAGGACUGAAAGGCACAGCCAUCUCUGUGUGUGGUGAUUGGCAUGGACCAGGGCACUGUGUGAAAGCAGGCGCUGAGCAGUCUCAGUAGUGUUGAAUUCAG